RNAcentral lists this ribosomal RNA (301 nucleotides) under uncultured bacterium. Its description in RNAcentral is "partial 16S ribosomal RNA". It matches the Rfam family "Bacterial small subunit ribosomal RNA", at positions 509 to 808 of the family's 1533-position model. The record is from RNAcentral.
CAGCAGCCGCGGUAAUACGUAGGUGGCAAGCGUUGUCCGGAAUUAUUGGGCAUAAAGGGCUCGCAGGCGGUUUCUUAAGUCUGAUGUGAAAGCCCCGGCUCAACCGGGGAGGGUCAUUGGAAACUGGGAAACUUGAGUGCAGAAGAGGAGAGUGGAAUUCCACGUGUAGCGGUGAAAUGCGUAGAGAUGUGGAGGAACACCAGUGGCGAAGGCGACUCUCUGGUCUGUAACUGACGCUGAGGAGCGAAAGCGUGGGGAGCGAACAGGAUUAGAUACCCCCGUAGUCCCUGUCUCUUAUACA